GAUGAACGCUGGCGGCGUGCCUAAUACAUGCAAGUCGAACGAACAGAUGAGUAGCUUGCUGUUCUGACGUUAGCGGCGGACGGGUGAGUAACACGUGGCUAACCUACCUAUAAGACUUGGAUAACUGCAGGAAACCGGAGCUAAUACCGGAUAAUAUAUUUAACCGCAUGGUUCAAGAGUGAAAGACGGUUUUGCUGUCACUUCUAGAUGUAUCCGCGCCGCAUUAGCGAGUUGGUAAGGUAACGGCUUACCCAGGCAACGCUGCGUAGCGGACCUGAGCGGGGGUGCGGCGACAGUGGAACUGAGACGCGGUAUAGAGUCCUACGGGAGGCAGAAGGUGGGACUCUUCGCAAAAGGGGGAAAGCGUGACGGAGCGACGCUGGGUGAGGGAGGAAGCGCCGUGUGUCGGAAAACGGUGUUCUUAGGGAAGAACGAAUGUGUACGUAACUAUGCACGUUGUGACGGUAGCUAAUCAGAAAGCGCCGGCUAACUACGUG
Molecule: ribosomal RNA, 497 nt
Filed under: uncultured bacterium
Lineage: Bacteria
Description: partial 16S ribosomal RNA
Rfam family: Bacterial small subunit ribosomal RNA
Source: RNAcentral